UCACAGCCAAGACUUAAUCAGAUUUUCUUAUUUCCUUUCUCUUCCCUGCUAAGCAAGAUGCAUUGCGAUUUCCUCUUCUGUGGACGCACUGGAAUAUGAUCCGGGACUAAUUCCUGAGACAUCAGGUCAGAGAUCUUAGGAGUAGAUGCCGUGGGGAGAAGGAAUUCUACGACUGAUUGAGCCAACAAAUCCUAGCUAGAAUCUAAUCUGGAAAGAGCUCUCUCCUUGUUAGUUUUUCACAGACUGAACCUUUUUUCAUCUACUUGUUUGUUCUCUGCUCUCUCCUCGUCACUUUAUUUUCUUUUUCUUUUUUCCUCUUACAUCUCUCUUAGUCUUCUUUAUCUUCAUCUACUUAUGCUAUUUCUAACUGAUUUUUGUUUUGUUUACAGAUCUGAGGAGGACCAGUGAUGAAACGGGAAGGGACUUCAUCUACUUAUGCUAUUUCUAACUGAUUUUUGUUUUGUUUACAGAUCUGAGAAGGACCAGUGAUGAAACGGGAAGGGGAAGUGGUGGUGUAACGGAGCAUACGCGCCGGAGGUGGUGGUGGCGUGACGAAUCGGAGGAACCGCAGAUGCUGUAUCUAUCAGACCAACACCAGUGGCUUCCCGACCCGAUCGAGUAGUCGCUUUAGAUGGAACCACUCCGAGUCGCCGCUUCAUAUGGAACCACUCCGAUUCGUCGUGGUGCCGUUCAACCAGUGGUGGAAACCGUGCCGCCGUGGCUGAACCCAUAGAGAUGAUGAUGGUGUAUUUGUGUAUUUGUGUAUAUUUGUGUAUUUAUCUUUGUAAUUUUACUUUGAGAAAAUGACUAGGAUAGCACUAAAAAAGUUUGUGUCACAAAUAUAACCUCCUAAGAAUAAAAAUGACCAAAAUAGCACUUAAUGUUUUAUCAAAAGAGAUAAAUAUACAUUUAUACUCCAAUGGUAAAUUAAUUUAGACAUUAGGGUUUAUAGUUAAGGGGUGGAGUUUAGGAUUUAGGGUUUAG
RNAcentral lists this long non-coding RNA (984 nucleotides) under Brassica napus (rape). RNAcentral describes it as "long non-coding RNA (BNAP_LNC018241)". The record is from RNAcentral. Lineage: Eukaryota; Viridiplantae; Streptophyta; Magnoliopsida; Brassicales; Brassicaceae.